UACGUAGGGGGCAAGCGUUGUCCGGAUUUAUUGGGCGUAAAGAGCUCGUAGGUGGUUCGGUAAGUCGGAUGUGAAAUCUCCAGGCUCAACCUGGAGGGGUCAUUCGAUACUGCCGUGACUAGAGGUCGGUAGGGGAGUGUGGAAUUCCUGGUGGAGCGGUGAAAUGCGCAGAUAUCGGGAGGAACACCGGUGGCGAAGGCGGUUCUCUGGGCCCUACCUGACGCUGAGGAGCGAAAGCGUGGGGAGCGAACAGG
This 254-nucleotide ribosomal RNA is filed under the name uncultured bacterium. RNAcentral's name for it is "partial 16S ribosomal RNA". It matches the Rfam family "Bacterial small subunit ribosomal RNA", at positions 524 to 776 of the family's 1533-position model. The record is from RNAcentral.